AAGCCCCGGCAGAAAAUAAUCUGCUUGUGGAGGUUUGCGGUCUCAGUCCAGGGCC
Molecule: transfer RNA, 55 nt
Filed under: Pristimantis ridens (pygmy robber frog)
Lineage: Eukaryota; Metazoa; Chordata; Amphibia; Anura; Strabomantidae
Description: tRNA-Cys
Source: RNAcentral